This 1835-nucleotide long non-coding RNA is filed under the name Malus domestica (apple). RNAcentral describes it as "long non-coding RNA (MDOM_LNC019949)". The record is from RNAcentral. Lineage: Eukaryota; Viridiplantae; Streptophyta; Magnoliopsida; Rosales; Rosaceae.
CAAAAAUAUAAGGAACUAACUAAGAAAAGACGAGUGAAUUCGAAGUAAAAAUAUAUAUAAAUAUCAUCCGAUCAUUCUCUAAGGCAUGUUACUACAUCAAAAACAUUGUUUUAAUUGAUUAAUUGUGAACUAGUAAGUGAUGACUAUGAUUAAGUAUGUGCUUAAGUGUAAAGAUGACUAAAAUCUGUGGGGAAUAACGAUUUUUAACAUGUCAUGUGCAUUGGAAAUCUCUGAGGCAAAUGUUGGAAGGUUUAGGUUGUGUUUUAUUUGUUUUGUUUUGUUUUAUUUCUUUGUUUUGCUCGAGGACUAGCAAAAGCUAAGUGUAGGGGAAUUUGAUAGGAGCAUAUUUAUGCGACUUAAUUGGCUUGUUCUCGUGCAUUUACGUUAUGUUUCCUUAGUUACUUUAGUGUUUAAAGUCACUUUUGUGUGUUUUCAGAUUCCAAAGCCGAAGUGUGCAAAAUGAUGUAAUUUGGAGCCUUUUGGAGCAAAAGGAAUGGAUGAAUUGAAGACUUGAAGAAAUUAGGAUUCCUAAUCAACGAAGGAUUCCUAAUCGACGAAGGAUUCCUAAUCAACGAAGGAUUCCUAAUCGACGAAGGAUUCCUAAUUGAAGAUGGAUUCCUAAUCAUAUGAGGAUUCCUAGAAGAACAAGGAUUCCUACUCCAAGAAGGAUUCCUACUUGAAAUAGGAAAGUUAAGCCAAGGUUUCCUACUUUGGUUUGACCUUUCCUAAAUGUUCCUAAGUUUUAUCAACUUUGAAGGCAUCCUAAGCAUUCUAGGACAUCAAAUACACAUCCCUUGCACAUUAUGAACCCUUGCCGCACCCCCUUGACAUUUCCUCUUCCUUGCCGUGCAAGGGAGAAGGUUGUUUCCUGAUUUUAUGCAUUAAAACACAUUCCUAAUGUGUUUUAGGACCUUGCCGCAUAUUCCCUUGCCUUUCCUUUAAUUUUCUGAUUUUGUUUCCUAUUUCUAGAAGCCUUAGACUUAAUUUCUGAUUACCUAAAUAACCUAGGGUUUUAAUUCCUGAAAUCCUUUAAAUAAACUCCUCUUUUGCAGCCACAAAACAUCCAUACACUGCCCAUUCACGCCAGAAACCAGUCUCCACCUUCAGCCGCACCAUUCUACCACCAUUCACCCAAAUUUCUACCACAAAUCACCCCUAGCCGCAUCACCCAUCAACCCUAAACACUUCCAUACGUCCCCCAUCCAUUCUACACCAUUUAAUAACCCAAAAACCUGCCCAAUGUCCCUGUGCCGCAGCAAAGGAGAGGAAGAAGAAGUACUUGAAGAUUCUAGCUGUUCAACAUCGAACCGUUGGAAUAUUUAGGUGUUCUCUUUCUUAUAUUUACAAUGUAUAAAUCUGUUUUCCUUUGUUUUGUGAACAUGAGGAACUAAGCCUUUUUGGCUAGGGGGUUAUUCGAUACCAUGAUUAUGCUUGCAAGAUGAAUUGAUUACGUCUAAUUGUUAUUUCAUGAAUUAUGAAUGCAAUUUGCUUAACCGUUUGAUUGAUGACUUAUUUUUGUGUGUUAAUUAAGGUGGCCAACUUAGUUUUCAUGCAAGAAUUUGAAGCUAAAACAUAAGGAAGUUUCACCUAAUAGUUACAACCUUAUGUUUGCAAGUAGUGGAGGUCACUUAUAAACGAUCGUGUUAAGUGAAUUCUUGGCAAACGUUUCAUGCUUUUCAUAGUAACAAUUGUCUCGUCAAUGCUUAUAGUUUUCAUGAAGCUUAAUGAUCUUUGAUUGUACCUUUAUUGUGCUUUUCACGUAAGGGGCUUUUAGAGAAUGUUUUGAGUUGUUGCAUGUGCAUUCCCAUCCAAUUCACUAACUUUAGGAAAACUUG